GACGAACGCUGGCGGCGUGCUUAACACAUGCAAGUCGAACGCUGAAGCUCAGCUUUUGUUGGGUGGAUGAGUGGCGAACGGGUGAGUAACACGUGAGUAACCUGCCCCCUUCUUUGGGAUAACGCCCGGAAACGGGUGCUAAUACUGGAUAUUCACUGGUCUUCGCAUGGGGGUUGGUGGAAAGGGGUUUUCUGGUGGGGGAUGGGCUCGCGGCCUAUCAGCUUGGUGGUGGGGUGAUGGCCUACCAAGGCUUUGACGGGUAGCCGGCCUGAGAGGGUGACCGGUCACAUUGGGACUGAGAUACGGCCCAGACUCCUACGGGAGGCAGCAGUGGGGAAUAUUGCACAAUGGGCGCAAGCCUGAUGCAGCGACGCCGCGUGAGGGAUGGAGGCCUUCGGGUUGUGAACCUCUUUCGCUCAUGGUCAAGCCGCAACAAUGGUUGUGGUGAGGGUAGUGGGUAAAGAAGCGCCGGCUAACUACGUG
This 483-nucleotide ribosomal RNA is filed under the name uncultured bacterium. Its description in RNAcentral is "partial 16S ribosomal RNA". It matches the Rfam family "Bacterial small subunit ribosomal RNA", at positions 28 to 507 of the family's 1533-position model. The record is from RNAcentral.